This 496-nucleotide ribosomal RNA is filed under the name uncultured bacterium. RNAcentral's name for it is "partial 16S ribosomal RNA". It matches the Rfam family "Bacterial small subunit ribosomal RNA", at positions 28 to 523 of the family's 1533-position model. The record is from RNAcentral.
GAUGAACGCUAGCGGCAGGCUUAACACAUGCAAGUCGAGGGGUAGAGUUAGCUUGCUAACUUGAGACCGGCGCACGGGUGCGUAACGCGUAUGCAAUCUACCUUGUACAGAGGGAUAGCCCAGAGAAAUUUGGAUUAAUACCUCAUAGUAUUAUUGAAUGGCAUCAUUUGAUUAUUAAAGUUCCAACGGUACAAGAUGAGCAUGCGUCCCAUUAGCUAGAUGGUAAGGUAACGGCUUACCAUGGCAACGAUGGGUAGGGGUCCUGAGAGGGAGAUCCCCCGCACUGGUACUGAGACACGGACCAGACUCCUACGGGAGGCAGCAGUGAGGAAUAUUGGUCAAUGGGCGCAAGCCUGAACCAGCCAUGCCGCGUGCAGGAAGACGGUCCUAUGGAUUGUAAACUGCUUUUAUACGGGAAGAAACCCUGCUACGUGUAGCAGCUUGACGGUACCGUAAGAAUAAGCAUCGGCUAACUCCGUGCCAGCAGCCGCCGUAA